RNAcentral lists this ribosomal RNA (165 nucleotides) under uncultured bacterium. RNAcentral describes it as "partial 16S rRNA". It matches the Rfam family "Bacterial small subunit ribosomal RNA", at positions 355 to 511 of the family's 1533-position model. The record is from RNAcentral.
UAGGGAAUCUUCGGCAAUGGACGAAAGUCUGACCGAGCAACGCCGCGUGAGUGAAGAAGGUUUUCGGAUCGUAAAACUCUGUUGGUAGAGAAGAACGUUGGUGAGAGUGGAAGGCUCAUCAAGUGACGGUAACUACCCAGAAAGGGACGGCUAACUACGUGUCAG